UACGUAGGGUCCGAGCGUUGUCCGGAAUUACUGGGCGUAAAGAGCUCGUAGGUGGUUUGUCGCGUUGUUCGUGAAAACUCACAGCUCAACUGUGGGCGUGCGGGCGAUACGGGCAGACUAGAGUUCGGCAGGGGAGACUGGAAUUCCUGGUGUAGCGGUGAAAUGCGCAGAUAUCAGGAGGAACACCGGUGGCGAAGGCGGGUCUCUGGGCCGAUACUGACGCUGAGGAGCGAAAGCGUGGGGAGCAAACAGG
This 253-nucleotide ribosomal RNA is filed under the name uncultured bacterium. RNAcentral describes it as "partial 16S ribosomal RNA". It matches the Rfam family "Bacterial small subunit ribosomal RNA", at positions 524 to 776 of the family's 1533-position model. The record is from RNAcentral.